UACGUAGGGUGCGAGCGUUAAUCGGAAUUACUGGGCGUAAAGCGUGCGCAGGCGGUUUUGUAAGCCAGAUGUGAAAUCCCCGGGCUCAACCUGGGAAUGGCAUUUGGGACUGCAAGGCUUGAGUGCGGCAGAGGGGACUGGAAUUCCUGGUGUAGCAGUGAAAUGCGUAGAUAUCAGGAGGAAUACCGAUGGCGAAGGCAGGUCUCUGGGCUGACACUGACGCUCAUGCACGAAAGCGUGGGGAGCAAACAGG
Molecule: ribosomal RNA, 253 nt
Filed under: uncultured bacterium
Lineage: Bacteria
Description: partial 16S ribosomal RNA
Rfam family: Bacterial small subunit ribosomal RNA
Source: RNAcentral